Molecule: ribosomal RNA, 508 nt
Filed under: uncultured bacterium
Lineage: Bacteria
Description: partial 16S ribosomal RNA
Rfam family: Bacterial small subunit ribosomal RNA
Source: RNAcentral
GACGAACGCUGGCGGCGUGCCUAAUACAUGCAAGUCGAACGCUUCUUUCCUCCCGAGUGCUUGCACUCAAUUGGAAAGAGGAGUGGCGGACGGGUGAGUAACACGUGGGUAACCUACCCAUCAGAGGGGGAUAACACUUGGAAACAGGUGCUAAUACCGCAUAACAGUUUAUGCCGCAUGGCAUAAGAGUGAAAGGCGCUUUCGGGUGUCGCUGAUGGAUGGACCCGCGGUGCAUUAGCUAGUUGGUGAGGUAACGGCUCACCAAGGCCACGAUGCAUAGCCGACCUGAGAGGGUGAUCGGCCACACUGGGACUGAGACACGGCCCAGACUCCUACGGGAGGCAGCAGUAGGGAAUCUUCGGCAAUGGACGAAAGGCUGACCGAGCAACGCCGCGUGAGUGAAGAAGGUUUUCGGAUCGUAAAACUCUGUUGUUAGAGAAGAACAAGGACGUUAGUAACUGAACUUCCCCUGACGGUACCUAACCAGAAAGCCACGGCUAACUACGUG